Molecule: unclassified non-coding RNA, 377 nt
Filed under: uncultured Hahellaceae bacterium
Lineage: Bacteria; Pseudomonadati; Pseudomonadota; Gammaproteobacteria; Oceanospirillales; Hahellaceae
Description: contains 16S-23S intergenic spacer region
Source: RNAcentral
UCCGGUUUGUCACCGGCAGUCUCCUUAAAGUUCCCACCCGAAGUGCUGGCAAUUAAGGACAAGGGUUGCGCUCGUUACGGGACUUAACCCAACAUUUCACAACACGAGCUGACGACAGCCAUGCAGCACCUGUCUCAGCGCUCCCGAAGGCACCCCCGCAUCUCUGCAGGGUUCGCUGGAUGUCAAGGCCAGGUAAGGUUCUUCGCGUUGCGUCGAAUUAAACCACAUGCUCCACCGCUUGUGCGGGCCCCCGUCAAUUCAUUUGAGUUUUAACCUUGCGGCCGUACUCCCCAGGCGGAGAACUUAUCGCGUUAGCUGCGCCACUAAGGUAUCAAGUACCCCAACGGCUAGUUCUCAUCGUUUACGGCGUGGACUAC